Molecule: RNA transcript, 2666 nt
Organism: Abrus precatorius (Indian licorice)
Lineage: Eukaryota; Viridiplantae; Streptophyta; Magnoliopsida; Fabales; Fabaceae
Gene name: basic leucine zipper 23-like
Exons: 3
Source: RefSeq, a predicted model, not a curated record
AGAAAAAAGAGAGAUACCGUAAGGGCGAGGCUUGGUCCUACGGGAAUUAUUUGAACAAUUACAGUUCCUCUGUGACGAGAAUACGUAUAAAUUGGAAGCCAUUGGAAGCGAAGAGAGAGAUACAUAGAGAGAGAAAGAGCCAACAAACCAAAAAGAAAUCCGUGGAAUAUCUGAACCUAUCACUUCGUCGUCCUGGUCUGAUUUGGGGGUUCCCUUCCAAUGGAUGACGGUGAGCUUGAUUUCUCGAACCAGGAAGUGUUUUCGAGUCCGAACAUGGCCGAGCUCCCUAGUAGUGGUUCGAUGGACAGUUUCUUCGAUGAACUUCUCAAGGACACACACGCUUGCACUCACACUCACACGUGCAACCCUCCUGGCCCCGAUUUUUCUCACACACACACGUGUUACCAUGUCCACACCAAAAUUGUCCCUGCCCCUGCCGAAGACCAGGUUGCCACCGAUGACACUGCUGAGUCUGCUGAGAAGAAGUCCAAGAAACGGCCCCUUGGUAACAAAGAAGCGGUUCGCAAAUACCGCGAGAAGAAGAAAGCCCGUGCUGCUUCUCUGGAGGAUGAGGUUGUGAAAUUGAGAGCUCUUAACCAGCACUUAAUGAAGAAGUUGCAGGGUCAGGCUGCUUUGGAGGCAGAAAUUUCUAGGCUCAAAUGCUUGUUGGUUGACAUAAGGGGAAGGAUUGAAGGAGAAAUUGGGUCGUUUCCGUAUCAGAAAUCGCCUAAUUCCGACCCUGCAAUUCCUAACCUGCCUGGUUCUUAUGUGAUGAACCCUUGUAACAUGCAGUGUGAUGAUCGCGUCUAUUGCCUUCAUCCUGGAGCAGAUGGAAAGAUUGCGGAAGGUGUGUCUCUGAAUGGGGAAGGAUUGGGUGGUUGUGAGUUUGAGAGCCUCCAGUGUCUAGCAAGCCAGAAUUUGGGGCUCAAGGAACUUCGCCAGUGCGGAGUUGGACAGACGGUGUCUAAUGUCAAUUCUUCUGCGUCAAAUAAAAGAAAAGGCAAGACAUCAGACCUGAUUAAAUAUACUUCUUAAUUCUGGGGCGAAACAUUUGAUUUGUUGGUUAAUUCGAAUGUAUACUUAGAUUCCAUUUUAAUUUCCGGUGCAUUGUUUGAUCUGCCAGGCAUCUUUGGUCACUUUUUGGGAUCCAGUGCUAAUUGUCCCUGUAUUUAACAUUUGUCUCAUUAUGUAAGUUUAGCUUUGUAAAAGUGCAGUAUAGAAAGCAUUGAGAUUUGAGAGAGAGAGAAAGAGAAAGCAUACGGGAUGAACUUGCUCUGCAAUGUGACCUCUUGCAUUUAGUUCUGUUUGGGUUAUAUGAACUGUUGGAAGUUCUGAAUUCAGAUGGUCUCACAGAAACACCUUUUCUUUAUUUGGCAUUAUGUUUAUUUGCUAAAACUUGUAAUUGUUCUUAUGUUAUAGGGCUGAAAUCAGAUUGCUAGAUUUUCUAUAGGAUGAUUGACUGAUUGUUAACAUCUCACAGAAUGCUUGAUCUUAAAGGGUAGUUAUAAUUAUUAUUACUAGUAUGAUAGAGUUAUUGUAACUUUGUUAGACAACUAGAUGCUAUAUUUAUGAACGCUGCCAGAUUAUGAAAAGAUAUUAUCCAAGAGGAUUUAAGGAACUAGAAUUUAAAGAUUGAAGUACCAAAUGAUUGUAGUGAAACAUUUUUUCUUAAUUGUUCUGAGACUGUAUUUUCUUUUCGAAUUUGUUAUUAUAUAAUUUUUUUAUUCCCAUUUCCAAAGCAAUUAGGAUGGAGUUCAGUGUGAUGAGUUUAGGGCAUGGAAAUCGCAUAUUCUUGCUCCCCGUCCUUUAAAAUGAUCUAAUGGAUCUUUAUUUUUAGGGGGGUCUCGUGCAGUAACAACUGGUUGAAGAAUCAAUAAAAAGGUGGUUUUCAUCGUUGCUUUGAACUUGGGGAAGAUGGGGGUGUGUGUGAUCUUUCAGUACUUUGUGCUGUGGACAGGUGAGACACCAAUGUCAUUUUGUGAAAUAUAAAAUCUUCUAUGAGUGAAACAAUAAAAUUGGCUGUGUAUGGUUGCCGGCAUUGUUUCUUCUUUUUCAUCUUUAUUGUGUAAAUAAUGAGAGGUUUAAUUCUGUCUUUUGCAUUUUGCUGGACAAGGGUUGAGUAAUUUAUUUCCGGAAGGAACUGUGUCUCUAACUGAAGAUUUUGCAUGUGGGCUUUUGUCUUCUACAAGACAGACAAAUGACCCGUUUCGUAUUUGAGAACGCAAGUAGCUGUUUCGAUUACCAAUGGAACCUUGCUAGCUUUAGAGUGAGAUACGAUGGUGGGAAGCCUGUCUGCAAAUCUGCACUAUAGAACAAAUCUUGAAUAGAUUUCGGUAAUUAAAAGGUUCUUGAUGAUCCUAUUUGGGGCAUGAACUGAUUAAUACCAUUGUGGACAAAAUUUGUAACAAUUUGCCUCGCAUUUAGUUGCUCGUAUAGAGCACAGCGGGACUUUUAGCGAACUGGAGUGAAUUGAGCCAUUACCAACUUGUUCCCUCUGAAGUUGUAAAACAUCACGAUUGGGACACCGUAUGCAUUCUGAAUUUAUGGGAUUCCCUCAGAUGGUUUAAGCAGAAUGUAGAUGUUUCGUGAAUUCAGUUACUAAGUUUAGAAUAAAAAUGAAAAAUAAUAAAAUUUCAUUUUAUUCGAGUGAUAUAAUGAAAAUAAUU